AAGGAAUAUUGGACAAUGGACGGAAGUCUGAUCCAGCCAUCCCGCGUGGAGGAAUAAGGCCCUAUGGGUUGUAAACUCCUUUAGCAGGGGAAUAAAAAGGUCAUUUAUGAUCAAUUGAAGGUACCCUGAGAAUAAGCACCGGCUAACUCCGUGCCAGCAGCCGCGGUAAUACGGAGGGUGCAAGCGUUAUCCGGAUUUACUGGGUUUAAAGGGUGCGUAGGCGGACUAUUAAGUCAAAUGUGAAAGCUUGCAGCUCAACUGUAAGAUUGCGUUUGAUACUGGUAGUCUUGAAUAUGGUAGAAGUUGGCGGAAUAAAUCAUGUAGCGGUGAAAUGCUUAGAUAUGAUUUAGAACACCGAUUGCGAAGGCAGCUAGCUAUGUCAUAAUUGACGCUGAGGCACGAAAGCGUGGGGAUCAAAC
This 419-nucleotide ribosomal RNA is filed under the name uncultured bacterium. RNAcentral describes it as "bacterial SSU rRNA". It matches the Rfam family "Bacterial small subunit ribosomal RNA", at positions 356 to 773 of the family's 1533-position model. The record is from RNAcentral.